CCUACGGGAGGCAGCAGUGAGGAAUAUUGGUCAAUGGGCGAGAGCCUGAACCAGCCAAGUAGCGUGAAGGAUGACAGCCCUACGGGUUGUAAACUUCUUUUAUAAAGGAAUAAAGUGAGGCACGUGUGCCUUUUUGUAUGUACUUUAUGAACAAGGAUCGGCUAACUCCGUGCCAGCAGCCGCGGUAAUACGGAGGAUCCGAGCGUUAUCCGGAUUUAUUGGGUUUAAAGGGAGCGUAGAUGGGUUGUUAAGUCAGUUGUGAAAGGUUGCGGCUCAACCGUAAAAUUGCAAUUGAUACUGGCAGCCUUGAGUACAGUUGAGGUCGGCGGAAUUCGUGGUGUAGCGGUGACAUGCUUAGAUAUCACGCAGAACUCCGAUUGCGAAGGCAGCUUACUAGACUGCAACUGACAUUGAUGCUCGAAAGUGUGGGUAUCAAACAGGAUUAGAUACCCGAGUAGUC
This 460-nucleotide ribosomal RNA is filed under the name uncultured bacterium. RNAcentral describes it as "partial 16S ribosomal RNA". It matches the Rfam family "Bacterial small subunit ribosomal RNA", at positions 338 to 795 of the family's 1533-position model. The record is from RNAcentral.